UACGUAGGGGGCAAGCGUUGUCCGGAUUCAUUGGGCGUAAAGAGCGUGUAGGCGGCCAGGUAGGUCGGUUGUGAAAACUGGAGGCUCAACCUUCAGAGGUCGACCGAAACCAUCUGGCUAGAGUCCGGGAGAGGAGAGUGGAAUUCCUGGUGUAGCGGUGAAAUGCGCAGAUAUCAGGAGGAACACCGGUGGCGAAGGCGGGUCUCUGGGCCGAUAUUGACGCUGAGGAGCGAAAGCGUGGGGAGCGAACAGG
RNAcentral lists this ribosomal RNA (253 nucleotides) under uncultured bacterium. Its description in RNAcentral is "partial 16S ribosomal RNA". It matches the Rfam family "Bacterial small subunit ribosomal RNA", at positions 524 to 776 of the family's 1533-position model. The record is from RNAcentral.